UCCUGAAUUUUUCUUCGGAGAUUAAAACACGUUUCAAGUAUCUAAAAAUAUCCCCAAAAAUCCAAAACCAGUGUUAAAAUCCUUUUUCGGCUAAUUUCGAAAUUCCGUUACGGCAGCAACGCCAUACUCCGACGACGGCACUGCCAUGCUCCGGCGACGGCACUGCUGCCCGCGACGGCGGUUUGUUUCGGAUUGGCUAUUUUCGGUCGGUUUUGGACGGUUUUGUAAUCAUUCCUGCGAAAAAACACGUUAAGCGGACUCAGUUGGCCGAAAAAAGUCCAAAAAUAGAAGCUUACUGGCGGUGGGGUUUUCUGGUACAGCGGCUCCGCUGGCUCACCUUCACGGUUAGGUGUUUUUCUUCGAUCAACCUGUGGAAAACAGAAUGGUGAAUACAAUGGUGAAAAAAUCGCACGAAACGGGAAUUGGGAAGAGCCUUGUUAGAGGCGAUUUUUUAUUUUUCCCGCAGCGGUACUGCCGAGCUUUACCUACGGUUUCCGGCUCAUUCACCAGUUCUUUUGCUCCAAUUUGGCAUGGGGGUGUUCAAAAUCAAAUUUCGAGUAAAUGAAAUUUUUUUUAUCUUUUUUGGCAGUCAAAGGUGGCUCCAGUACAGCGGCUGGCGGCGGUCGGUUUUCUUUUCCAGCGACUGGUUCUUUUUCUCCAGCGGGAGGUUGGCGGUUAGGGUUAUGAUUCGGUAUGAAAUGAGGUAUUUAUAUCCAUUUUCUUUUAAUUUGGGUCAUCCAUCGCGUUUGAUCUCGAUCGUCCAAUCACGUUUAAAUAGGAAAUGAAUUUGAACCGUUCAUCGCGAUUUGAUCUGAACCAUACGAUCGCUCUUGAGGAGGGAACGGAUCCGGACUGUCCACACGUGCAGGAACAAAUCCAGCUGAUCGCGGGCACGCAAAUUGUCAGCAUGGCCUCCCGCGUGGCACUGCGUCAGCGUGCCUUGCCACGCGGUGUGCUCCGGUUUAUUGGGCUGCUAAUUGGGCGGUCCUACGUGGCACAUUUUUUUUAAAUUGUAUUUUGACCCCAGUUUUUUAUUUUUCUUUCAAAAACACUCUCAUAAUCUAAAUUUUCACCUUUUUUUUCAAAAUUGUUUUCAAUUUCAUUUUCCACCUAUUUUUUCAUAAUUUUUAUAUUAAAUAAAAAUUUAUAAAUUUAUAAAUUAUAUUUUAUACAUUAAUUUAAUUUUUUUUUUUAAAUUAAUUACGGGUAUUACAAUUGAGGUCCUUAGACUCAAUAUACUGCAUUAGAUAGAGCACGCUUAUAAAAUUUCUCCAUUUUCCAUUUUGAUUUGCCAAUGUUAAUAACCUUUCAACCCAUUUGAUUUAAUUCAUAUUCUAUUCCUUGCUUGAGUAGUAGAAUAUUCUUGAUAUGUCUUUGGAUCAGUUUCAUUUCUAGAUUGAUUCAAACAUGAAAUUACUAAUUAAUUCUACAUAUUAAGGAUAUUUUAGUAAUUGAGUAAAAGAAAUGGAAUAUGAAUUAGAGUGAGAGUUAAACCGAAUGGACUAUAAGGGUUGUCUCUAUCUGAUUUUUCCUUUUUUAUCAUCCAAAUUCUCAGUCUCUGCUAAUAAUUUCAAAUCGUAAUCCUUUUUGAGUGUCUUUCCUUAGAUUUCUUCUAUAAACUCUCAUUUUUAUUCUCUAUCUGGGGAAAAAAUAUGCACAAUUCUAUAUCACCUUGAACAAAUCAAC
RNAcentral lists this long non-coding RNA (1686 nucleotides) under Carica papaya (papaya). RNAcentral describes it as "long non-coding RNA (CPAP_LNC014094)". Lineage: Eukaryota; Viridiplantae; Streptophyta; Magnoliopsida; Brassicales; Caricaceae. The record is from RNAcentral.